CAAGAACGGAUCGGAAAUCUUACAUUAAGACCCGAUGUUUGCGGAAUCCUCAAACGCUUUUCCGUCAAGGCCUCCAUUUAAGGAUUUCCUUUCUUCCUCAUCACGGACAACCCCCCCAAAGCGAGACACGGGGUAAGGGACUCUCAGAGGUUGUCCCUAGCUUCUGAAGCCUCAGGUUCCACGGAGACAUACUGGUUCCAAACGAGAGACGCAGAUGACUUACAGACAUGUUCACCAAACAUGAAGCAGGCAGACGGCAGCAGGAACACGUGUCUGAAGGCUUUCUAUGGCUAUACUCCAGGAAACAUGUCUCUGCCACAGAGGAGUCAGGAGGACCUCUGGCUACUCAGGUGAUUCUCAAGGGGGACUGGCAUAGAAGAGGACUUAGUUCACUCCCAUCUCAAUUUUGUAACUGCUUCCUGUUAUACAGAUAACACACCACAGAAGUUAUAGACUCUACAAGUCAUCUGCCUAUCACUUGAGCAAUUUGACACCCACAUCCUACAAUCACACAAAGUUUGAAGGAGCACCCACCUACCUAAGAUGCAGACAUCUUUCAAUCUAUCUGAAUAAAGAAGAGUCCAAACUCAA
Peromyscus maniculatus bairdii (prairie deer mouse) is the source of this 591-nucleotide non-coding RNA. The record is from RefSeq and is a predicted model, not a curated record. Lineage: Eukaryota; Metazoa; Chordata; Mammalia; Rodentia; Cricetidae.